Molecule: ribosomal RNA, 245 nt
Filed under: uncultured Dietzia sp.
Lineage: Bacteria; Bacillati; Actinomycetota; Actinomycetes; Mycobacteriales; Dietziaceae
Description: partial 16S ribosomal RNA
Rfam family: Bacterial small subunit ribosomal RNA
Source: RNAcentral
CAUGCCGUAAACGGUGGGCGCUAGGUGUGGGGUCCUUCCACGGACUCCGUGCCGUAGCUAACGCAUUAAGCGCCCCGCCUGGGGAGUACGGCCGCAAGGCUAAAACUCAAAGGAAUUGACGGGGGCCCGCACAAGCGGCGGAGCAUGUGGAUUAAUUCGAUGCAACGCGAAGAACCUUACCUAGGCUUGACAUAUACAGGACGACGGCAGAGAUGUCGUUUCCCUUGUGGCUUGUAUACAGGUGG